This 471-nucleotide ribosomal RNA is filed under the name Thermotogales bacterium enrichment culture clone HWH.52. RNAcentral's name for it is "bacterial SSU rRNA". It matches the Rfam family "Bacterial small subunit ribosomal RNA", at positions 325 to 795 of the family's 1533-position model. Lineage: Bacteria; Thermotogati; Thermotogota; Thermotogae; Thermotogales. The record is from RNAcentral.
CACGGGCCCUACUCCUACGGGAGGCAGCAGUGGGGAAUCUUGGACAAUGGGCGAAAGCCUGAUCCAGCGACGCCGCGUGAAGGAAGAAGUCCCUCGGGAUGUAAACUUCUGAACUAAUCGAAUAAAAGGGUAGUGGACACACUACAGAAGAAGGUAGGUUAGGAAAAGUCCCGGCUAACUACGUGCCAGCAGCCGCGGUAAGACGUAGGGGGCGAGCGUUGCCCGGAAUUACUGGGUGUAAAGGGGACGUAGGCGGGUGAUCAAGUCAUCUGUGAAAAGAUUGCUCAACGAUCGGCUUGCGGAUGAAACUGAUCAUCUUGGGCGUAGCAGAGGUAGACGGAAUUACCUGAGUAGGGGUGAAAUCCGCAGAUACAGGUAAGAACGCCGGUGAAGAAGUUGGUCUACUGGGCUACAGCUGACGCUGAGGUCCGAAAGCCAGGGGAGCAAACCGGAUUAGAUACCCGGGUAGUC